RNAcentral lists this ribosomal RNA (180 nucleotides) under uncultured Glomeromycotina. Its description in RNAcentral is "partial small subunit ribosomal RNA". The stretch from base 89 to 180 matches the Rfam family "Eukaryotic small subunit ribosomal RNA", at positions 736 to 829 of the family's 1831-position model. The record is from RNAcentral. Lineage: Eukaryota; Fungi; Glomeromycota.
GGCCUGGCUGGUCGGUCCGCCUCACCGCGUGUACUGGUCCGGCCGGGCCUUUCCUUCUGGGGAUCCUCAUGCCCUUCACUGGGCGUGCUGGGGAACCAGGACUUUUACUUUGAAAAAAUUAGAGUGUUCAAAGCAGGCUUCACGCUUGAAUACAUUAGCAUGGAAUAAUGAAAUAGGACU